AUGUUCCCUUUUAGCGUUUCUUUCUGUUGUUGCUGCACUCCCUUUUGGGCGUUCAUUUUUUAUGCCCAAGAUCUUGCAAAUUGUGCCUGUGCCGAGCUUGCUUUAGAGUACGGGCUGCAGAGACGUCGAGGACCUCAAGGUCACCGAUGUUGUGGAGCUGGACGAGGUUUCCGGGCAGUUCAUCGACCGCCUGUUCUUCCUGUAGAAGUUCGGUUGGUGCCGUGGCGGAGGGUUGUCUUGUGGUUUGACCAGAGAGGGAGCACACCAAAGAAGCGAUCUCGUCCCCAUUGGUCAGGUACCCUUCGUCUUUCUCUCGUUCGACCUCUCCAAGAAAGUUAUAUAGGCAGAGUAAGCUAA
Molecule: ribosomal RNA, 357 nt
Filed under: Triticum aestivum (bread wheat)
Lineage: Eukaryota; Viridiplantae; Streptophyta; Magnoliopsida; Poales; Poaceae
Description: partial small subunit ribosomal RNA
Source: RNAcentral